This is a small nuclear RNA of Ictidomys tridecemlineatus (thirteen-lined ground squirrel), 105 nucleotides long. The record is from Ensembl. Lineage: Eukaryota; Metazoa; Chordata; Mammalia; Rodentia; Sciuridae.
GUGCUCCCAAUCAGUAGCACGUAUACUAAACUUCAAACAACACAGAGAUUAGCAUGGACCCUGAGCAAGGAUGGCAUACAAAUUCGUGAAGUGUUCCAUAUUUUU